RNAcentral lists this ribosomal RNA (207 nucleotides) under uncultured bacterium. RNAcentral describes it as "partial 16S ribosomal RNA". It matches the Rfam family "Bacterial small subunit ribosomal RNA", at positions 1293 to 1500 of the family's 1533-position model. The record is from RNAcentral.
UCGGAUUGAAGGCUGAAAUUCGCCUUCAUGAAGCCGGAAUUGCUAGUAAUGGCAGGUCAGCAUACUGCCGUGAAUACGUUCCCGGGCCUUGUACACACCGCCCGUCACACCAUGAGAGUUGGGAAUACCCGAAGCCUGUGAGCUAACUUUAAGAGGCAGCAGUCGAAGGUAGAAUCAAUGAUUGGGGUGAAGUCGUAACAAGGUAUC